UACAGAGGGUGCAAGCGUUAUUCGGAAUUACUGGGCGUAAAGAGCACGUAGGCGGUUUUGUAAGUCUGAUGUGAAAGCCCUGGACUCAAUCCAGGAAGUGCAUCGGAUACUGCAAGACUUGAGUAUGGGAGAGGAGAGUGGAAUUUCUGGUGUAGAGGUGAAAUUCGUAGAUAUCAGAAGGAACAACAGAGGCGAAGGCGACUCUCUGGACCAUUACUGACGCUGAGGUGCGAAAGCGUGGGGAGCAAACAGG
Molecule: ribosomal RNA, 253 nt
Filed under: uncultured bacterium
Lineage: Bacteria
Description: partial 16S ribosomal RNA
Rfam family: Bacterial small subunit ribosomal RNA
Source: RNAcentral